CCUACGGGUGGCUGCAGUGAGGAAUAUUGGUCAAUGGGCGGAAGCCUGAACCAGCCAAGUCGCGUGAGGGAUUACGGCCCUACGGGUCGUAAACCUCUUUUGCCGGGGAGCAAGGGCCGGGACGAGUCCCGGUCCGGAGAGUACCCGGAGAACAAGCAUCGGCAAACUCCGUGCCACAAGCCGCGUUAAUCCGGAGGAUGCGAGCGUUAUCCGGAUUUAUUGGGUUUACAGGGUGCGUAGGCGGACUUUUAAGUCAGCGGUAAAAGUUCGGGGCUCAACCCCGUCCGGCCGUUGAAACUGGGGGUCUUGAGUGAGCGAGAAGAAUGCGGAAUGCGUGGUGUAGCGGUGAAAUGCAUAGAUAUCACGCAGAACCCCGAUUGCGAAGGCAGCAUACCGGCGCCCAACUGACGCUGAGGCACGAAAGUGCGGGGAUCGAACAGGAUUAGAUACCCCUGUAGUC
This 460-nucleotide ribosomal RNA is filed under the name uncultured bacterium. Its description in RNAcentral is "partial 16S ribosomal RNA". It matches the Rfam family "Bacterial small subunit ribosomal RNA", at positions 338 to 795 of the family's 1533-position model. The record is from RNAcentral.